RNAcentral lists this ribosomal RNA (433 nucleotides) under uncultured bacterium. RNAcentral describes it as "partial 16S ribosomal RNA". It matches the Rfam family "Bacterial small subunit ribosomal RNA", at positions 29 to 507 of the family's 1533-position model. The record is from RNAcentral.
AGCGAACGCUGGCGGCAGGCCUAACACAUGCAAGUCGAACGAACUCUUCGGAGUUAGUGGCGGACGGGUGAGUAACACGUGGGAACGUGCCUUUUGGUUCGGAAUAACUCAGGGAAACUUGUGCUAAUACCGAAUGUGCCCUUCGGGGGAAAGAUUUAUCGCCAUUAGAGCGGCCCUCGUCUGAUUAGCUAGUUGGUGAGGUAACGGCUCACCAAGGCGACGAUCAGUAGCUGGUCUGAGAGGAUGACCAGCCACACUGGGACUGAGACACGGCCCAGACUCCUACGGGAGGCAGCAGUGGGGAAUCUUGCGCAAUGGGCGAAAGCCUGACGCAGCCAUGCCGCGUGAAUGAUGAAGGUCUUAGGAUUGUAAAAUUCUUUCACCGGGGACGAUAAUGACGGUACCCGGAGAAGAAGCCCCGGCUAACUUCGUG